Molecule: ribosomal RNA, 292 nt
Filed under: uncultured bacterium
Lineage: Bacteria
Description: partial 16S ribosomal RNA
Rfam family: Bacterial small subunit ribosomal RNA
Source: RNAcentral
GUGCCAGCCGCCGCGGUAAUACGUAGGCAGCGAGCGUUGUUCGGAGUUACUGGGCGUAAAGAGUGUGUAGGCGGUUUGCCAAGUUCGGUGUGAAAUCUCCCGGCUUAACUGGGAGGGUGCGCCGAAUACUGGCAGGCUAGAGUGCGGGAGAGGAAAGCGGAAUUCCUGGUGUAGCGGUGAAAUGCGUAGAUAUCAGGAGGAACACCUGCGGUGUAGACGGCUUUCUGGACCGCCACUGACGCUGAGACACGAAAGCGUGGGUAGCAAACAGGAUUAGAAACCCGUGUAGUCC